Molecule: unclassified non-coding RNA, 88 nt
Filed under: Pseudomonas deceptionensis
Lineage: Bacteria; Pseudomonadati; Pseudomonadota; Gammaproteobacteria; Pseudomonadales; Pseudomonadaceae
Source: RNAcentral
GGUGGGAGCGAGCCUGCUCGCGAUGCCAGACGGCGCGGUGUUUCAAUUGAACCGCGUCGAUGCCAUCGCGAUCAGGCCCGCUCCCACA